Molecule: long non-coding RNA, 1537 nt
Filed under: Nicotiana tabacum (common tobacco)
Lineage: Eukaryota; Viridiplantae; Streptophyta; Magnoliopsida; Solanales; Solanaceae
Description: long non-coding RNA (NTAB_LNC010094)
Source: RNAcentral
UUUUGAAACAGACUUUCUUGAACCAGGUGACCUCAGUGCCUUAUUCCCAGCAAGUCCAAGAACUGGCCUUGCUUCUGAAUCAGCUGCAUUCAUUGACCUUACCCUUGAAGCCCCUGACAUUGAAACGAAAACUCCCGUCUGCUUCUGCCACUUAAGUUAAACUUCAGGCUUCGAAAUCCUCAAAAUUCCCUAUGUUUACCACCUCCCUACAGCACCCAAGUUUCAAAAUUGCUAAUUAUAAGAACCACUCAAGAUCUUACAAAUUCACACAUUGCUAAAAACCCUGCAAAAAUCCAACAAAUAACACCUCAUAAUGCUUCUGAAUCCUAUCCAAAUCACAAUAUCUCUCUUAUAACCCUUCAAUCCCAAGAAGCACAAAACUUGGAUUAGAUAAUCAUCUUUAACAAAUCCAACAAAAAAGCAAAAACUCUCAUGUCAAUAUUGACUCUCAAAUUGCAAAAAUUUCAAUAAAGGUUCAACCUUUUUCAUAAACCACUCAAAACCCACAAUUAUUUCCCCUCAAAAUUCAACCUUUAAGGCCCAUUCAAGUUAAACACUCAAAAAAACAUCCACAUUCUACAGAUGAAAUGUCAACUAUCUUCCCACAAAUGCAAAAUUCAGCAUAAAGAUCAAUCUUUAACUUAAACUACUAAAAACCCACAAUUUAUUUCCCCUCAAAAUUCAAUCUUCAAAACCCAUUUAAGCUAAAAGUUCCAAAAACAUCCACAUACUUGAAAUGACAUGCCAAGCUUGACUCUCACAAAAAUCUCAAUAAAGGUUCAACCUUUUUCAUAAAUCCACAAACUAUUUCCCUUCAAAAUUCAAUCUUUAAGACUCAUUUCAGUUAAAACUUCCAAAAACAACCACAUAUUUGAAAUAAAAGGUUAACUAAUUGACUCUUAAAUUGCAAAAAUCUCAAUAAAGGUUCAACCUUUUUCAUAAACCACUCAAAACCCACAAUUUAUUUCCCCUAAAAAUUCAAUCUUUAAGACCCCAUCACAAAGUUAAAUCUCUCAAAAACAGCAACAUAUCCAAGAAUUCAAAUGCAUAAAAAAAAUAUAUUAUCUGCCUUUGACUAAACAAAAUCUUCCAAUACACACAUUUUCAAUUAAAAAAAUAUUUACUGCAUAAAAAUAUGUAAAGACAGCUAAGCCAAGUAAAAGUAUUAUUGAAAUAAGAAUGAACCUUGAAAAAAAGUAGAUAAUCCAUUGAGCAUUUUCUUUAUUUCUUUUAGGAGGGAUGAACUGAGACUUUGUCUUUUCAGAACUUCAUUAUUCUGUGAAGGAACAAAAGCUGUUGUUCAGUGAUACUAAUGAUGCUUUUUUUUUUCUCUCUCUCUCUCUUUCUUUAUUUCUUUUGUUUUUCUUUAAAAAGAUUAUAUUUUAGGGGAAUGUAGAGAGAGAGAAAAAAGGAAAUGUAGGAAAUGUGAUGGGGUUUUUGAUCUGUAAAUAGAAAGGGAGUUGUUUUUGCUGUGAGUUAAGAUAGAGAGAGAGAAGUACAGUGUGUGUGUUGAUUUGGGGGGUGAUGAAGAUCUGAG